AAGAAGAGGAGAUGAGGACACAGACACACACAGAGAGAGGACCCUGUGAGGAUGCAGGGAGAAGACAUCAUCUACAAGCCCAGGAGAGGGACCUCAGGAGGCACCAUCCCUGCUGACACCUUGAUCUCAGUCCUCUAGCUUCUAGAACUUAUUUUGUCAUGGCGGCCCUAGAAAACUACUACAUUGACUGUGAGGGUUAAGAUGACACCAAGCAUCAAAUGCCACUCCCCGUUCCAACACUGAGACCAUUCCACAGCCUCUGAAUGACAAGACAGGCCUUCAAAAUCAAGACUACCUGGCUAGGAGGCCGGAAGAACUUGCCUGGCAAUUAUGAGGGGAUGGAGGAACUGCCUAUCCCUGUCCCAUUGUCCUGUCCACAGGUCAGCCUCACAAAGGGAAAGAGCCCUGGAUGGGAAUACAGUGGAAACUCAUUCUCUUAGUGACCUGGGGUCAUUGGCUCAAGAUGAAGCCUAGCAGGAGUGGCAACUCCAGGUGAAAAGCUUGAUGAAGGAUUUUAAGGACUUCCCGUUGGCUGAAGGCUGGCAAACGGAGUUUGCCAUCCUCUGACUACAGCCAUUCUGAGGACUGGAAAGGAUACCCUGAGAAGUGGCCUAUUUUAUUUCUGCAGGAAGGUACUGAGGUUUAAUUUAUCUUAUGGAGUCUUCCUAGAUUAGAAGGCUUUGAGGUGUGUUGAUGCCUUGCCAGUGACUUAGCUGCCUGAUCAGCGAACCUAUUUCCUUUGGCUACUUCAUCUGUUCCCUUUUUGAUGUUCCCUAUAAUGUAUCACUGCUAUUUCUCAUGAAAGAAAACUGAUGAUAAUAACCUGUUAAUUUUUUGGUGAUAUUUUAUAGGAAGUCCAUUAGUGGUAAGAAAAUGCCUUUUAUUUUAAAUGGCAGCAUGAGCAUGAAGAACUCAAAAAGCAUACUUGGAAUCAGUGUAAAUGUUAGCUACCUUUCUCUUGCUUAAUUUAAGUGCUCUUGUAUUAACUGUUUGUUUAGCUGAUUGAGCACCUGCACCUGAAGAGAGAUGUUAUUUAGAGUGACUACUGCUUAUCCUACCUUACGUAUUUCUUGCUUUACCAGCUGAUCGUUAGCUAAGAGCUCCCUCUAGAGGACAGUAAUUUUGCCACAUUAAGUGGGGGUGUAAACCGUUUUUUCCUAGGGUUAAUUUGGAGGCUUUUCUGAUUAGUAGAGCUAUUGUGACAGUGGUUUGGAAGCAGAUGUAAAAAAUAGGUCCUCCUAACUGCAAAUAAGAGGUUGAGAAAAAUAUUGGAUUAGAAUUUUUCCUGAGACACCCCUUAUGGUUGUGCUAUGGGAAGAGGGGAGGCCUGGAUAAGAAAGGAGAAAAGAGAGAGACUGGAUCUAGUGUUUAGAAGGAGGUCUACUUUCCUUCCUAUAAUUUCCAGAAUCACCUGUGUCUCCUGUGCUGUAAUGGCAGUUUGAGCUGCUGGAGUCAGGGGUUUGAGCCCCAGGACCCAUCAGUCCUGCUGGACCACUGUGAGACUGGUUCUGAACCCAGUGACCUCCAUCUCUGGGAGCAGUUGCAUCUCCAGUGGUCUCCACCACAGGCUGGACAGGGUCAAGGUGGCUUCCUCUUGCUGUUUGGACACUUCUUCCUCAAAUGCCCUGGCUUGCCGCACCGAGAGCAACUAGUGGAUACACCUCUGGGAUCUUGGACUUUGCAACUCUGCAAAGCAGCUACUAGAGGCUUUGUCCUUCUCUUGAGCUUUCUCUCUUUCUUCUGGGCCUUCUCCUAGUCCCUGUUGUAAAAGACUGAAGUGGCUACCCUCGGAUGGUUUUCCAAGGUGCUAUCUGCUACGAUAGCUUGCCUUUUAUAGGUUCCUUCUAAUAUUGGGAGCUUUCUGUAUAAUAAACUUAUCUUUUAGAAUGGGCUGUCACUUGACUGAAUCAGGAGAUAAAAAGGUGUGUGCUAAUAGUGCCCCUCUCAACCUAUCCAUAAAGGCUGCAGGAUUCUCAUCUGGCUUUGAGUCUAUCAUAGACAGUUUAGAGGAAUUAAGAGGUCUGGCCUUAGUUUUUCUUUUCCAUUCAUCUACAGGGCUAUUGGGGUUUCAAUCAGGGUUGUCAAGAGGUACUGCUUCACUUCCUAUUUGGAAUGGUGUUUCUGCUAUUUCUUCACUUUCUGUAUCUCCUUCCUUCCCUUUUGGUGUAUUAUAGGAGAUAUGUUGCUCAUCUCCAAAAUUCUCUGCUGCUUGCAGAGCUGCCUGUUUUUCAGCAGUUAGGGUUUGGUUUAGGAGCAGUAUAACAUCCUUCCAUGUGAGGUGAAACACCUGACUUAAAUUCUGGAAAGCUUCUAUAUACCUGUCAGGAUUGUCUGAAAAUUGGCCUAAGUCUUACUUUAUUUGCCUAAGGUCCUGUAAUGAGAAGGGAACUUGGAGGGACCCCAAAUUAUGGAGAUUCUCAGAUGGUUCCCUUGGAAGUUGCUUUUCUAAUUCUAGGAGAUUAUUCUUUAUAAGCCUGCCUGAUAUGGCUGUUAAAAAAUCUGGGUUGCUGUUACAAUGCUUGUAAAGGUUUAGUAAAAAUGCCCUGUCAUUUUGCAAAAUAGAAUGAGUUGCUUUUCUCUUGAAAGUCCUGAGGUUAAAAGAGUUCUAGUGCCUCAGAGUGCACUCCAGAGGGGUGCAAGCUGAAGAUGCUCUGUUAGCCAUUGAGAAAAAGAAGUGAGAAUAAAAGUGUCCUUAUAGUCCCCCUUCUUUUAUUGUGACCCAGAGUGGAGUGGAAGACAGUGGGAGCGUCCCCCCAACUGUUUUCUCUCCUUGGUUCCUGAGUCCCGGCACCAUGUUAAAUGUGCUGCCCAUGGUUGUAGGUGUGGCCCUGUAAGCCAUGGAACUAGAUAAAUGAAGUGAUGGGAUUAGCCACACUUUACCCAUGCAACCUUAGCUUAUCUGCCUGUGAUCUGCCUGGCUUCCUGAAAAAUGGAUCUCUGGAGAAACUGUAACAGUUGCCUUUGAGCAAGCUUUCUUUAACAGAGGGAAUGUGCCAGUUGCCAGUUAUGGCACGUGCUAAAGCAUUUACCCUCAGAAAAGUGGUCCUGGUUAACUCUGUUCUUAAAGUAUCCUUACUAAUUAAAUACUGUUCUAAUUGGAGAUAGAAUAGGUACCUUAAAUGAAUGUAGGGACCUAAUGGCAGUUUUCCCUGCUGAUGCAGCAGUAUCAGAACUAAAAUUUGGCUAUGGAAGACAUUUUACUCCUAAUUGUUGAAAGCAAAGCUUUCCCAUUCACAGAAAGGGCUUUUCUAUCAGUGUAAAAAGAGAGAAUUGGAAAAGUACAGUGUUAUGGCAAAGGACCAACAAUGUGCCUCAUGAGGAGGAUUUCUAUUUCUACUAGGUGACAUUGUUGGCUUAGAAAUACCACGUGCUUACCAAAGGAAGGAGAGAGAGAGAGAGAGAGAGAGAGAGACCAAGACACCUAUUGGGUUAGUUAUUAUAGCGUUUACCGAUCUUUCCUAGCAGAACUGUUUCCCUGAACUGUAAAAACUUCCACAUAUUGCAUACACAGAAAGAAUAGGAGACAUAGAGACCAUGGAUAGAAAGGAAGAACAAAUUUGCAACAGGAUAGCAAAUUAGGAGACCCAUUACCAACAUCUGGAUGGGUUGCCCGAGGCUGUGUUCAGUCCAGAAGUCUUUGAAUAACAUCAGGGUGUGUCCUGGCCAGAAAUUCUCAGCUGUUCCAGGACAUCCCCCAGCCUCAUGUGAUGGUGAGGUUCUCCAUGAAAGGAAACUAGUUUGAAGAGAACCUUGAAAUUAAAGGACAGAUUUGAGGUUUGCUCCAUACUCAACAUUCUGAUGUUUCUAUCUUCUGUUCUGAUCACAAUCCCGGAUAAGAACUCCCAAAUAAAAUGACUCUGUUUGGGAAUCUAUCCAUGGUUCUUUGUCACACACUGAGAAAGAAUUCAGGACAUGGAAACACAUGAGGAGUGUGUUUAGGAUUGAAAAAUUUAGCAGACAAAAAAGAAGAGAGAGAGAAAAAGCUUUCUCAUACUGAGAAAGCAGUCACCCAAGAGAGGGUCUCCAGUUUGGGGUGGAAUGCAAUUGAUUUUGUACAGAGACUUAAGGAGGCAGUGAUUGAUUUACAUAGGGUCCAGGGGAUUGUUUUGACCAGGUGUUCCAUUUACAUAGCCUGAAAAAAGACUGGCCCUCCCACCCUAUUCUUUUAUUAUGCAAAUGUGGCUUCUACCUGGUGGUCACCAUGAAAUUAGGAGAUAUACCUAAUGUUAAAUGGCGAGUUAAUGGUUGCAGCACACCAACAUGGCACAUGUAUACAUAUGUAACUAACUUGCACGUUGUGCACAUGUACCCUAAAACUUAAAGUAUAAUUAAAAAAAUAAAACCCCAUGGUAAAUUUCUAUUAUUUUUGUGUUACCUUGGCAUCUCUUUUUAAUCUUCCUUGAACACACCAAAUUUUCUCUUGAAAAAGCUUAAGUUCUCUCUCUCUCUCUUUGCUUUGAGAUGUAAAUGUGCUACGUAUUUUCUCUAAAACUAGGUAAAGCCUUCCUCAGAUAAAUGUUAACCUUUACCAUUUACAAGCAAUUUGAAUCCAACUAUCCUUUAAAAUGGUGGGUUUUACUGAUCUCAUGCCUAAAGUCCUAAAAUCAAAAUUCUAAAAUCUUUUUGUCUCUCUCUAUCUUUAUGUGAACAUGUAUAUGUUAUAUGUUUCAUCACAUAUAUGUAUAUGUCACACGUUUAUAUACUGUUUACACAUAGUAUCAAAUUAAUGUAAAAAUAAAUGAGUACUCACAAAUUAAGUGAAUAAGCCCAAAUGCUUUUCUAUAUAUGUGAUUUUAGUAACCUUUGGUGAAUAUAGAUAGCUUUAAAAUUGUUGGUAAAAUAAAGUAGAAAUGUCUUCAUAA
Molecule: long non-coding RNA, 4862 nt
Organism: Gorilla gorilla gorilla (western lowland gorilla)
Lineage: Eukaryota; Metazoa; Chordata; Mammalia; Primates; Hominidae
Exons: 4
Source: RefSeq, a predicted model, not a curated record